Long non-coding RNA from Salvia splendens (bonfire salvia), 455 nucleotides. RefSeq lists it as uncharacterized. The transcript has 2 exons. The record is from RefSeq and is a predicted model, not a curated record. NCBI's taxonomy places the organism in Eukaryota, Viridiplantae, Streptophyta, Magnoliopsida, Lamiales, Lamiaceae.
CUGCCGUCCGCGCCGCUGCGCCGUCGCCGUGAGUUGUCUCCAGCCGCUGCACCCGACGCCGCCGUCGCUGCCGGGAGGUACUGCCUCUGGUCAGCCCCCGAUUAACCCCGAUUUCAACUGAAGAGAUCGGUUCUUAUUCAAGGCUGAAAGGCAGAUUCUUGAAGCUGGAGAAUUUUGAUUACUGCCGAUAGCAACAAUUUGAUGUUAGAUUCUGAAGCAGGAGAUACUUUAGAUGCAACGAUAGAACAUAGUUUACCUUGAAUAGAAGUUGACGAAGACAGAUUGACUGCAGAUGGGUGAGGGAAGGGAAAAACUGAUAUAGGAUUUAAUAUAGUGGAAAGGGGGUUAAGGAUAUGGGAGAGAUUUGUGGGAUGGGUGGAAACGGUUUCAACGUGGGAUUAGGGGCUAAUUUUCGAAUUCUUCCUCCUUUUUAUUAAACGUGAUUUGGCUGAAAA